Molecule: ribosomal RNA, 402 nt
Filed under: Monodelphis domestica (gray short-tailed opossum)
Lineage: Eukaryota; Metazoa; Chordata; Mammalia; Didelphimorphia; Didelphidae
Description: partial 16S ribosomal RNA
Rfam family: Bacterial large subunit ribosomal RNA
Source: RNAcentral
AAUUAAUUUUAACGGCCGCGGUAUCCUGACCGUGCAAAGGUAGCAUAAUCACUUGUCUCCUAAAUAGAGACUUGUAUGAAUGGCAAAACGAGGGUUUAACUGUCUCUUUUUCUCAAUCAAUGAAAUUGACCUACCCGUGCAGAGGCGGGUAUAACUUUAUAAGACGAGAAGACCCUGUGGAGCUUAAAAUUACAACUUAAAUUAAUUUAUAUUAUACCCUAAGGGAUUAAUCUUACAAAACUUUUUAAGCUGAAUUUUUGGUUGGGGUGACCUCGGAGCACAAGCAACCCUCCGAAUGACAUAACUAAGACUAACACAUCUAAGUGCAACCUAAGCCAGUAAUUGACCCAAAACUUGAUCAACGGAACAAGUUACCCCAGGGAUAACAGCGCAAUCCUAUUU